Entelurus aequoreus (snake pipefish) is the source of this 299-nucleotide long non-coding RNA. RefSeq lists it as uncharacterized. The transcript is spliced from 3 exons. NCBI's taxonomy places the organism in Eukaryota, Metazoa, Chordata, Actinopteri, Syngnathiformes, Syngnathidae. The record is from RefSeq and is a predicted model, not a curated record.
UAAGGUCAUCCAUCGUUUUUAAAUUCGUCACAGCAGACAUUGCUGCUGAUAUUCCCACCGAAUAAUGAUUUCCUUCAAGAGCUGAUCAGACUGGAUCUUCUUCUAGAGAAUCCAGAACUAGAUGAAGGAUUUACUGGCCUAAACCACCAGAUUCGAGGCACAAAUACCCAGAGAAGUGAUCAUGCUUUGGACAUUCUAGCAGAUCUAGGUAUAGAGUAAGACAUGUAUCCAUCCAUCCAUCCAUUUUCUACCGCUUGUCCCUUUCGGGGUUGCGGGGGGUGCUGGAGCCCAUCUCAGCU